Molecule: long non-coding RNA, 227 nt
Filed under: Ananas comosus (pineapple)
Lineage: Eukaryota; Viridiplantae; Streptophyta; Magnoliopsida; Poales; Bromeliaceae
Description: long non-coding RNA (ACOM_LNC020227)
Source: RNAcentral
UUUUACUUCCUUUUUUUUUUGGCCAAUUUGUAUAAAAAAUUUAUUAGUUUUCAGGUUUUGCAAAAGUAAGCUGUAUUUUUAGAUUUUGCAGAUUCGGACCGAAUUUUCGAAAAAUUGACCAAAAUAUUCUUAUUUUCUUUUCUCUUUCCUUUUUGUACGAAUUUUCGGAAAACUGACCAAAAUACUUUGUUUUUUUCUUUUCUCUUUCCUUUUUUUUUCUUUUGUUU